AAUUUUGGACAAUGGGGGAAACCCUGAUCCAGCCAUCCCGCGUGUAUGAUGAAGGCCNNNGGGUUNUAAAGUACUUUUGGCAGNGAANAAAAGGUAUCCCCUAAUACGGGAUACUGCUGACGGUAUCUGCAGAAUAAGCACCGGCUAACUACGUGCCAGCAGCUGCGGUCAUACGUAGGGUGCAAGCGGUAAUCGGAAUUACUGGGCGUAAAGCGUGUGUAGGCGGGUCGGAUAGAAAGAUGUGAAAACCCAAGGCUCAACCUUGGAACUGCAUUUUUAACUGCCGAGCUAGAGUAUGUCAGAGGGGGGUAGAAUUCCACGUGUAGCAGUGAAAUGCGUAGAUAUGUGGAGGAAUACCGAUGGCGAAGGCAGCCCCCUGGGAUAAUACUGACGCUCAGACACGAAAGCGUGGGGAGCAAACAGG
This 424-nucleotide ribosomal RNA is filed under the name uncultured bacterium. RNAcentral describes it as "partial 16S ribosomal RNA". It matches the Rfam family "Bacterial small subunit ribosomal RNA", at positions 360 to 776 of the family's 1533-position model. The record is from RNAcentral.